UGAAGUUAGCGGCGGACGGGUGAGUAACACGUGGGUAACCUGCCCAUAAGACUGGGAUAACUCCGGGAAACCGGGGCUAAUACCGGAUAACAUUUUGAACUGCAUGGUUCGAAAUUGAAAGGCGGCUUCGGCUGUCACUUAUGGAUGGACCCGCGUCGCAUUAGCUAGUUGGUGAGGUAACGGCUCACCAAGGCAACGAUGCGUAGCCGACCUGAGAGGGUGAUCGGCCACACUGGGACUGAGACACGGCCCAGACUCCUACGGGAGGCAGCAGUAGGGAAUCUUCCGCAAUGGACGAAAGUCUGACGGAGCAACGCCGCGUGAGUGAUGAAGGCUUUCGGGUCGUAAAACUCUGUUGUUAGGGAAGAACAAGUGCUAGUUGAAUAAGCUGGCACCUUGACGGUACCUAACCAGAAAGCCACGGCUAACUACGUGCCAGCAGCCGCGGUAAUACGUAGGUGGCAAGCGUUAUCCGGAAUUAUUGGGCGUAAAGCGCGCGCAGGUGGUUUCUUAAGUCUGAUGUGAAAGCCCACGGCUCAACCGUGGAGGGUCAUUGGAAACUGGGAGACUUGAGUGCAGAAGAGGAAAGUGGAAUUCCAUGUGUAGCGGUGAAAUGCGUAGAGAUAUGGAGGAACACCAGUGGCGAAGGCGACUUUCUGGUCUGUAACUGACACUGAGGCGCGAAAGCGUGGGGAGCAAACAG
Molecule: ribosomal RNA, 703 nt
Filed under: Bacillus cereus
Lineage: Bacteria; Bacillati; Bacillota; Bacilli; Caryophanales; Bacillaceae
Also listed under: 1 other name
Description: bacterial SSU rRNA
Rfam family: Bacterial small subunit ribosomal RNA
Source: RNAcentral